UUUUUUUUUUUCCUGUUUUUUUUCCUGGGUUUUUUUUCCUGUUUUUUUUUUUUUCCCCGUUUUUUUUCCCCGUUUUUUUCCCUGUUUUUUCCCCGGUUUUUUCCCUGUUUUUCUCACCCCAGUUCUCUCCUUACAGACACAGGGUCUCUUGUGUACAGAGCUGGCCUGAGCUGGAGAAUUCCUGCAGCAGCGUCAUGGAAAACACCACUUGCCACAGCACAGAACGAGCUCCUGUAAGGCAGCUGAACAACCUGCUGUGCAGCCUUCCUCCACAGGGACUCAUGGGCAUAUUUUGAAAACCUCUUUACUCCAAGCCCCCACAAAAAAAGGAACCAAACAUGCUUUGGAAUAAGAGAAAGAAGAAAAGAGGCGCCACCAAGGAUCAGGACAGCGCCUGUGGGGCGGUGUGGGAGCCACAAAGGGAAGGAAAGCAGAGGCUCCUGCAGCAGCAGCAGAGCCCAGCUGGCCCCUGUCCCUCCCGUGGAGCUCCACAGGAGCUCUGAGCCACGUGAGGCAGCCAGCCCAGGCUUUGGCAAGGCAGGAUGCUGUGCUGGGGUUAUUAGCAGGUUCCCAUAGCACUGCCCUCCCCAGGCAUCCUCCCCUGCCCACGCUGGCCUGCCUGGCACAGGCUGCUGGGCAUUCACCAGGAGCUCCGUCCCUAUUUCAGCCCCCAGCGCAAACACCACCGUGAAUCUUUGAGUAAACAGGCAGGCACUGGAGGGGAGGGAAGGAUUAAAAACUCCGAAUAAUGACUGAAAUGUCAGACAUUUAUUAUUAAGUCAGUCCUGAUGUUGACAGCUGAACAUUCAAUAUUAAAAGCAUCCUUGAUCAUAAAAGCCAAAGGCAAACCUGAUUCUUAAAUAUCCCAGUUGUUCUUUUUUGACCUAGUUUUUGAUGUCUUAAGGAGGAAAUAAAAUUUUGGAAAAUAUUUACA
RNAcentral lists this long non-coding RNA (934 nucleotides) under Junco hyemalis (dark-eyed junco). Its description in RNAcentral is "lncRNA (ENSJHYG00000002712.1)". The record is from RNAcentral. Lineage: Eukaryota; Metazoa; Chordata; Aves; Passeriformes; Passerellidae.